RNAcentral lists this long non-coding RNA (1409 nucleotides) under Canis lupus familiaris (dog). Its description in RNAcentral is "lncRNA (ENSCAFG00845005963.1)". Lineage: Eukaryota; Metazoa; Chordata; Mammalia; Carnivora; Canidae. The record is from RNAcentral.
UUUUUUUUUUUUUUUUUAAGACUAUUUCUUUAUUUAAGUUCGGGGGCGUGCAGAGUGAGCGAGAGUCCGAGCAGUGGGGAGAGGGAGAAGCAGGCUCCCACCAAGCAGGAAGCUUGUUGGGGCUCGAUCGCAGGACCAUGACUUAAGCUGAAAGCAGACGCUUAUCAGACUGAGCCACCCAGGUACCCCAGGAGCCUAGAGAUUUCUUAGAACUCAGCUGAACUUGAAGAAACCCGGAGGCCUUAACACCCAACUCCCAACUAUGACAAUGAGGCAGGUUUGACUCUGGAGGGAAGACCUGGGAAAGCAGGACAUGGUGGUGGCGGUGGUGGUGGCGGUGGUGGGGUCAGUACCAAGCCUUGUGUUACAGCUGAUUUCCAGCAGCUGGCCACGGAGCAGAACUCCAGAAUGUGUUCGUUCUUACAGCCAGGAAGAAGCAGGCCCCAUACAUCCCAGGGUGGCCAACUCCUUUCUCUUGCUACCUGGCCCUAAUGAGCUCCUCUAAGGGGCACAGAGAGGGACACAAGGUGCGGAAGACAGAAACAUCUCACGGCAAUAUCCAUUCUAUCCAUCCUGUCCUUAAACCUUAGUGGUGACCUUCCGUUUCUGAUGAUGUAAUGAUACUAACGCAGCUCACGUUUACUGGGAGCCAGUGCUACACCACGAGCAUUUGCCGAUCCUCCCAGUAACUCGGGGGGGGAGAGAGGGGGCGGGAUUUUACAAUGGUUCAGAAAUCUUAGGCACCUGCCUGAUGUCACACAGCCAGGGAGUGAAAGAGCAAGUGCUCAAACUCAGUCCCCCCUGCUCACGCCAACCCUUAGCUCCUUACAAUCCCCACAAGCUGGUCUGGGAGGACUUAAUAUGAUACUGUGGGAGAAACUGAGGCCCUAACCAAUGAUUUCUCUCUCUUUUGCUCUUGGGAGCAGGGUCAGUUCUUCAUCUAGAGUCUGACAUUUUCUCAGACUCUUUCUCUCCAGGCUGCUGGCAAGUUCUUAGAGAGGGGUUACAACUCCAGGGCAGAGAGGGCGGCUGGCCCUCAAGUACUCCUGUUUCCCUUCCAGAGUGAAAAGUUGGGACUGGGAAGGGAACAGCCAGCCAGGAACUACAUUUCCCAGCCUUCUUUGCACCUAUGUGUCCAUAUGACUCAUUCUCACCAAUAGGAGUGGCAGUGGUGUGAUGAGGAAGCAGAGGAGCUGUCUCAAGCUUUUCUUCCUCCUUCCAUGGUGAUCUUGGAAGCCACAUGUUGAAGAUGGAAAGGAGUAGGGGCCCCAAAUACUGUGUGGAAAGCCACCCUCCACUUCCCUGAGGAGUUGCUGCAUGGCAAAUAAACUUGCAUUAUGUUAAGCUGCUGAGAUUCAUGGUUUAUCUCUUGUGGCACCCAGCAAUGUCCUCACCAAUAUGCUAGUCUC